AAUCAACGCUGGCGGCGUGCCUCAGACAUGCAGGUCGAACGAUUAAAGCUCUCUUCGGAGAGUGCAUAAAGUGGCGCACGGGUGAGUAACACGUAAGUAAUCUACCUUCGAGUGGGGAAUAACGUCCGGAAACGGACGCUAAUACCGCAUAACGCAGCGGCAUCGCAAGAUGACAGUUGUUAAAGAUUUAUCGCUUGAAGAGGAGCUUGCGGCAGAUCAGCUUGUUGGUAAGGUAACGGCUUACCAAGGCUACGAUCUGUAUCCGGUCUAAGAGGACGGUCGGACACACUGACACUGAAUAACGGGUCAGACUCCUACGGAGGCAGCAGUCGGGAAUUUUGGGCAAUGGGGAAACCCUGACCCAGCAACGCCGCGUGAAGGAUGAAGUA
This 389-nucleotide ribosomal RNA is filed under the name uncultured bacterium. RNAcentral's name for it is "bacterial SSU rRNA". It matches the Rfam family "Bacterial small subunit ribosomal RNA", at positions 32 to 415 of the family's 1533-position model. The record is from RNAcentral.